RNAcentral lists this long non-coding RNA (5175 nucleotides) under Cicer arietinum (chickpea). Its description in RNAcentral is "long non-coding RNA (CARI_LNC001928)". The record is from RNAcentral. Lineage: Eukaryota; Viridiplantae; Streptophyta; Magnoliopsida; Fabales; Fabaceae.
AAACCUUUAAUAAGAAUUUUGAUUUUUUUUUAUUACAAUAUUAAUUUUGCUUUCGAUGUCAUAUAUAUUAGUGUAACUAUAUACUUGUCUACAAGAGGGUUAGCAAAGCAACAAGUUCCUCACCAAAUGGAAGAAUCAAGCAUUAUUCCUAAACAAGAAGAAGAAGAUGAAAAUAUUACAAAGACAAUCCAAGCACAAGAGGUAAUGGAGGAGUUAGAAGAAUGCAAAACACCAACUAGCAACAAGAUUCCAGUUAUUAAAAACUGUCCACCUGCCCCAAGAAAAAAAAGGAGGUCAUCAUUUUCAUCACAUUCAAUCAUGAUCAAAAGAUCAUCAGCAACUGAAUUGAAAUAUGUAGUAAAGCCUAAGGAGGUAGAUUCUUUCUUCCAAUCCAUGUUUGAGCUUACUAAGGUCAUUAACAAGAGAUGUAGAAGCAUAUGAAAUUUAAUAAUUAGUUUAUUGUAGUUCUCAAGUAAUGUUAUCUACCCUUUUGAGACAAUUUCCAUAAAGAGAAAAAAUGGAAAAAUAAUAAGAUUAUGUAUGUCAAUAAUUAGUUCACAAUUCAAUUCACCAUUCUUAUAUCUAUCUAUUUCAUUGUUUAUUUCAUGGUUUGUAUUUAAAGAAUUAUAUCCAUCUUCAUAAUAAUCUAAUGCAUAUAUAAUUCCAUUCACUUUUAGUAGCUGAAUUUAAGUCUCAUGCAUAGACAUAUUUCAUCUUACCUUCACUAGACUAUGUCCAAAAACGGUAUAAUAUGUUGUGUGAAAAUCAUUACUACAUCUUUUUUCGAUACUUUCAAGGCUUCCAUGAAUGCAGUAUUUAAUUUUUGCUUUGUUUAGAUAAUAUUACAAGCAACUUGUUAUUAAAUAUAUAUAUACACACACACACACUCCCUCCCUAGGUUCUUUUUAAAUUGUCAAAUUUUUAGAACAAAAUCAUUCGCAAAUUUCAAAAUUUUAUAAACUUUAUCAUCAAUUUUUUUUCAGUUAUACACUGUUUUUUGUUUCAAUUAUACACUUACUUUGUCAAUUAUUUUUCAUUAAUACAGAAAAAAGAGUAAAUGAGCCAGCUGGACCACUGAAAUGAAUUAAUUAUAUAUUUGAAAUUUGCUAGUUAAUUAAAUUUUUUUAAAAUUAUACACUAAAAAAAAACUUAAAGACAAACAUAUCAUAACCAUCUAAUUAUAAAGUUGGCAUCUUCUUAAUUUUUCAAAAUAAAUUGAUAUCUCCAUUACUUCAACUUUUAUAUAUAAAUAUUUAAUUAAUGUUACUAUUUUGAAAAAUAUGUGUUUUUAUAUUAUUUAUUAUUUCUUAAAAAUUAUAAUAAUUGCCAUCGUAAUAAUUUUCUUUUAAAAAAUUAAGAGGAUAUUACCUUGUGAUUUUAAUAAUGAAAUGACCCCACAAAAAAGUAUUCAGCAAUCCCAAGUUGGAUAUGCUGCUGCUCCUUUAAUUAUUAAUUAAUAAUACAGCUUUCAAAUUAAAGAUACAUUUUGGAUGUUUAUGUUUUGUGUUUUAGCUUAAGUUACUAACAAGAACGAAAGAAAAGUUUAUGACUUCAAGUAGACCACAAAAGGAAACGCGAAAUUCAAUAGAAGCCUCAUUAGAAUGUUACUGAAUUGCUACUUCAAAAUGCUAGAAUUUCUCUAAGUAUUAUGACAUCAAAUAUAAACAAAAAUAUGAUUAAAAAAUAAUUGCAAAUAUGAUAUCAAAUAUAUAUUUGGUUAAAAAUUUAAAUAAAAUACAACAAUUUUAUUUAUCUUUAUUUUUAUUUUUAUUUAAAACCGGAUAUAAUGUAGCUUAAUAAUAAUCUAAAUAUUAAUAGUGUGCAAGUAUAAAAUAUCCUACGGUAGCUACAUAGUGCACGGGUUGUAUCUUGAAUCGUGUACUAUCUUUCAAAAGCUUUUUAGACAGCACUCUUAAAAUAAAAGGUGUCAUUAGAUAAUAUUUUACUAUAAAAAUGUGGUCUAAAUGAAUCAUUAGACAACAUUUUUACUUCAUUGAAAAAAUAUUGUCUAAAUAUACAACAACGCUAAAAUAAACGAUGCUAUUAAAUACUAUUAAAAGUUAGAAAAAUGUUGUUUUUUCUCAUUAGAUCUAAGGGUGGCGUAGCUGCAUGCUAUUGAAAAUCCAAGUUGAUAUAGUGCAAGUGCAAGUAAUAGAGGUAGGUGAAUUUGUAUAUGUAUGAACCAAAAGAGGAAUAAGUGAUAGAAAAGAUAUUGUGCAGGUACUAUGAUGAUUAGAACAUUUUUAUUUGUUUGUGUACAAGAACAAAAGUUGGAAAGCAAAAGAAGGAAACAAAACAACAAAAGAACGUGGAGAGAGAGGGAGAGAAAGAAAUCAUGCUCCACUCUAUUAGUUGCAUAGGGGUCAUGUCACGUUCCAAGCAAUGGUUGGUGCAUUGCUAGCUCUUCUUUGGGGACCAUGACAUUAUAUGACACCCACGAGCAGCACGGGAACACACACACAAAAAAAAAAAAAAUUGGAGUUCCAUCAUUUUUACUUUAUAACCAUACACGUCCUUCCAAUGUUUACAUCUUUUUCAAUUUAAUUUUUCACAUUAUCUUUUAUUAUUAUUAUUAUUAUUAUUAUUAUUAUUAUUAUUAUUAUUAUUAUUAUUAUUAUUAUUAUUAUUAUUAUUCAUUACUGAAGUAAUUGAAUAUCGGAUUUUGACCUGAAUAGCUAUAUCUUGGAGAUGUGGUAAAGUAAGAUUCUUCCAUCAACUUCUCGUAUACGGAGGGGGUGUACCUGCACAUACUCCAUCCAUCAAGUAAGAAUUUUCUAGGGUAUGAGAGAAAUUUAGGUUAGAAUUUGUGUGUGCCGUUAUGACUUAGAGAUAUAGAUUUAUAUAGGAAUUCCUCCUAGAGUUUCUAGAACCAUCUUCUGAUGGUAAUUAGGAAUCAAUAAAUGACUGUUUGGUACCUUCUGAUUCUAGAGAAGUGUCCAUUUGCUUUGUGAUAGAUGAUUGUCAUCUAGUGGCUAUGAUUAUGAUAGGAUUGCCAUCAAGCGAUCAUGAUUGGAAGUCCAUGUGAUCUAGGAUAGACCAUCAAUUUGGAUUCCAUUUAAGUGAGCGACUUGCCCUAGAUUCGAGAAGGUUCUGUAUUAUCACACACUGGAUCGAGUCGAACGAUAUUGGGCUUGGCUUAAGUGGAUGAAAGUUUGGCCCAUAACAAUUUCUCCCCAAGUCGGCCAUGUGAUGGAAUCAAUGAUCGAUUUGUAAUACAAAUUUGUUUAUCUUGGUCGAAGUGGGACUUCAAAUGUAAGUGAUCAUUCAUUUAUUAGUGAUUGACUUUGGAUUAGAUCGUUUUAUUUUGGGGGAAUCCCACAAUCGAGUUUAUCUAUUACUGUUAUGGAUUAUGAAGAAUUGCUUCAUUAAUUAUCGUGUCAGAGAGCCUUUCUGAGGCAUCCGUUCAAUCACUUUCUCAGGACACGUCUUAAAUCUGAGUGUUCAUCAUCACCCUAGGCGCCUAUUGGAUUUAUAAGGUUUCUUGGUCUAGACUUUUUAGAACUGUUAAAUGUGUGCGUUGGGAUUCGUGUCCAGCCUUUAAAUAUAGAUUAUAAAUAAUGGAAAUGUCUUGUGAGUUCCUUUCUUCUUCCUUGAAAUAUCUCUGAAAAAUUCUUGGGCACCUAUCGUGAACUGCUUCCUCCUUCUUUGUUCUUCACAAAACCUUAUUGAUGAGUUAUUUUUUCUUUCUUCUCUUUCUGAUUUGAUUUUAAUGUUGUUUUUUGAAUGUGUUUCUUGUUGUCAUGGUUUAGUAUUUGCACGUUGUAGCAUUACUUUGUAAUUUUUUGUUCUGACCACUAUCCAUAGUGGGUCUUGGAUGUGGUUUUGAGGGGUUUUGUUUCUUUUCCUCCACCUUGAAAGGUGGUUAUGGGCAUUUUUCCUUUUUCCCUUUCCGUUGAGGACGACCUUGGAUCCCAUCUUUGUUUCUAUAUUUAUUUAUUUAUUCCUUGCACUUAGUUUAGUUUUAUGCUUCCUUUGUCUCCUUUCAUUCCUUUUUCAUCAAAGUGCGUGAAGGGGUGUGAUUAUUGUCUUGACCCAUUCUCAUCCAUUUUGAUCGGCCAUGAUUUGAAAUGGCUGAUGAUAAGGCGUCGCCUUCGAACGUGCAAAUAUUCCCUUUGGACUUCCAAUACUUGAAUUGGGUGACUAACGAACUUUUGGGGGUUGUUUUCUGUUUUCUCGGAAGAUGGGAAUGAUUCGGAGUCGUAUUUUGGAAAAUGGGGCCAUAAGAAGAUUGGACUACUUGGAGACCUGAGUAGACAAAAAUGAUAUGAAGUGACUCUGAAAAUUGUGCGAUUCCUAUGUACGACUAUUUUUUUACACAUAUGGGGUUCCAUAAUCCCUUUAGAUCGUUUGGGAUAGCGAUCUUGGAUCAUCUCCAGUUUGCCCCUUCUCAACUUCACCUGAACUAUUUGGCUUAUGAUAAAUGCUUUCCAAAUCAGUUGUCAUUUCUUGAAAUUAACCCCUUAUGUUCCUUUCUUUUUUAAUAUCUUUGUGUUGCUUUGGUAUAAGGAGAAUUCUAUAUUGAAAUAAGGGCACAUGUGUUUUAAACAAAAGAAGAAAUGUUUCAUGGCCUUCAAGGACUUACUGAAAGGGUUCAAAAGAAGGUAUUACUAUAUUGUGGCAAGGUCGAAAAAUGUUCAUAUAAAUUUAUGUAUCAUCAAUCUUGUUUAUGAUUGAAACAUGGAUAUUGUACAAAGAUGGAAAACCAAAUACAACUUGCAAGGAUCGAUAUCCAAAGGUUUGGACUAGGAGACACUUCAAUCUUAGACGAUAUGAACUAGCAUAUAAGAUUGAAAAGCUUAUUCAUGUCAAUCUCUAUAAUGUUAAUUGUUUACGAUCCUUUGUUAAUACUUUUGAAAAGGAGUUUAGUGUUGAUAAGAAAGGAAAUCUUAUACUAGAUACAGAGGAAAAUCGUCAAUAUGUUUCUUGUUGUAUACAUACCCAUGAACUUUUAGCUUGUCGUGAUCAAGAGGGGGCUAACUAUCUCUUAGGUUAUCACUAGAUUGAUUUUAUGUUGUUUAGACUAAUUUUUGUUUGUUUCCUUAAUUCUAACUUUUCCUUUUAUUUCUUUGUUUCCUUAAUUCUAACUUUUCCUUUUAUUUCUUUGUUUCAUUGAAGUACAAGCCGAAUGGUACUACAACUUCUUUAUCAACUCCUUUUCAGGUUCCUCUAAUCCAG